This 468-nucleotide ribosomal RNA is filed under the name uncultured bacterium. Its description in RNAcentral is "partial 16S ribosomal RNA". It matches the Rfam family "Bacterial small subunit ribosomal RNA", at positions 28 to 507 of the family's 1533-position model. The record is from RNAcentral.
GACGAACGCUGGCGGCGUGCUUAACACAUGCAAGUCGAACGGAAAGGCCCUGCUCUUGUGGGGUGCUCGAGUGGCGAACGGGUGAGUAACACGUGAGUAACCUGCCCUUGACUUUGUGAUAACUUUAGGAAACUGGGGCUAAUAUCGGAUAGGAGCUCCUGCUGCAUGGGGUGGGUUGGAAAGUUUCGGCGGUUGGGGAUGGACUCGCGGCUUAUCAGCUUGUUGGUGGGGUAGUGGCUGACCAAGGCUUUGACGGGUAGCCGGCCUGGGAGGGUAACCGGCGACAAUGGGACUGAGGUACGGCGCAGACGCCUACGGGGGGCAGCAGUGGAGAGUAUUGCACAGUGGGCGGAAGCCUGAUGCAGCAACGCCGCGUGCGGGAUGACGGCCUUCGGGUUGUGAACAGCUUUCGCCUGUGACGAAGCGUGAGUGACGGUAAUGGGUAAGGAAGCACCGGCUAACUACGUG